RNAcentral lists this ribosomal RNA (486 nucleotides) under Nematoda environmental sample. RNAcentral's name for it is "SSU rRNA". It matches the Rfam family "Eukaryotic small subunit ribosomal RNA", at positions 217 to 699 of the family's 1831-position model. The record is from RNAcentral. Lineage: Eukaryota; Metazoa; Nematoda.
UAAAACCAAGCAUUCUUCGGAAUGUUUUGUGUUGAAACUGAAUAUAUCUGCUGAUCGUAUGGUCUUGUACCGACGACAUGUCAUUCAAGUGUCUGAUCUAUCAACUUUCUAUAUAAGUAUAUAGUACUUAUAUGGUUUUGACGGAUAACGGGGUAUUAGGGUACGACUCCGGAGAAAAUGCCUGAGAAACGGCGUUUACAUCCAAGGAAGGCAGCAGGCGCGAAAAUUACCCACUCUCAGUACGAGGAGGUAGUGACGAGAAAUGACAAGAUCUAUUCCUUCGGGGAUGGAUCAUUGGAAUGGUUUGAUUUUAAAAUCAUUAAAGAGUAUCAAUGAUAGGGCAAGUCUGGUGCCAGCAGCCGCGGUAAUUCCAGCUCUCAUACUGCAUUGAAUUGUUGUUGCGGUUCAAAAAGCUCGUAGUUGGAUCUGUACAUGAAACGUUAGUUUAUUCUUUACGGAAUAUAACUAAUACUAAAUGCUUUUUGU